RNAcentral lists this ribosomal RNA (510 nucleotides) under uncultured bacterium. RNAcentral describes it as "partial 16S ribosomal RNA". It matches the Rfam family "Bacterial small subunit ribosomal RNA", at positions 28 to 507 of the family's 1533-position model. The record is from RNAcentral.
GACGAACGCUGGCGGCGUGCUUAACACAUGCAAGUCGAACGAAGAGCGAUGGAAGCUUGCUUCUAUCAAUCUUAGUGGCGAACGGGUGAGUAACGCGUAAUCAACCUGCCCUUCAGAGGGGGACAACAGUUGGAAACGACUGCUAAUACCGCAUACGAUCUAAUCUCGGCAUCGAGGAAAGAUGAAAGGUGGCCUCUAUUUAUAAGCUAUCACUGAAGGAGGGGAUUGCGUCUGAUUAGCUAGUUGGAGGGGUAACGGCCCACCAAGGCGAUGAUCAGUAGCCGGUCUGAGAGGAUGAACGGCCACAUUGGGACUGAGACACGGCCCAGACUCCUACGGGAGGCAGCAGUGGGGAAUCUUCCGCAAUAGACGAAAGUCUGACGGAGCAACGCCGCGUGAGUGAUGACGGCCUUCGGGUUGUAAAGCUCUGUUAAUCGGGACGAAAGGCCUUCUUGCGAACAGUUAGAAGGAUUGACGGUACCGGAAGAGAAAGCCACGGCUAACUACGUG